Molecule: long non-coding RNA, 6761 nt
Filed under: Homo sapiens (human)
Lineage: Eukaryota; Metazoa; Chordata; Mammalia; Primates; Hominidae
Description: HSALNT0322736
Source: RNAcentral
CAGGGUUUGUGAGGGGGAGAGAGGUGAGAUGUGGAUUGCAAGAAGUAGUCUGUGGCCGAUUAUAUCAGGCUUUGGAGGUUUUUUAUAAGGAUCUGGCUUUUAUCCUAAAUAAGCUAGGGAGCCAAUGAAGGGUUUUGAGCAGAGAAGUGUCAUGAUCUAAAUCAUAUGUUUAAAGCAUCAGACUGGCUGCUGUGUUGAGAAUAAACUGGUGGGCUAAGGCAGCAGGAGGGAGACCAGCUAGGAGGUGAUUGCAGGAAGUCAAGCAAGUGAUAAUGGGCUUGUACCCAGCUAGUGGGGUUCCAGUUAGUGAUGUUGAAAGUGUUGAAAAGUGUUCCGUUUCUGCUUUUUUUUAAAUGUGAAACCAACAGGACAUGCCAGUGAUUAUAAAGCAUAUGAUGAUGAUAUAGGAUAAAGGAAGAGAGGAGUUAAUUAAAUAUGACACUGAUGUUUUUAUCCUGAACAAAUGGAAGGAAGGAAUUGCUGAAAUAGAGACGUCUCUGAAGAGCAGAAGCUGUUUUGAACAUUGCAGUUUGAAAUACCUAUUAGACCUCUGCUUGGAGAUCCCAAACAGGAAAAAUCAGUGGUUAUGGUCAGAAAGUGGGAAGCUUGAAGUUGAGAUUAUCAAGUUAAUAUCAGUGCAGUCAUUGGUAAUGAUAAGUUCUAGGAUCUAAGCAAUGGGAAGAAAGAAGUUGGCUGAAGAAAUGAUGGAAAUUAAUUAUAUAAUUGAAGAAAAAGAAGUCAAGGCACUGAGAGCAUGUUCAGUUGGCAGAAAUUCCAUGACAGCAUCUACAAGGGCAUAUUGGAGAGAGUGAGGAAAUUAAACCAGUUGCCUGCUGGGCUGGUUGGUGUACAGAAGAGGAGAAGGAUUCUGAGGGGUCAUCUCCAAUCCCAUUUUUUUUCAGCCCCAGCCUGCAUCCCUUUCUACAGAAGUAACAACAAUUUCCAGUUUCUGAGCCUUUCCAGGGUUGUACAGUAGGUAUUCAUUUGCUUUUUGAUAUUUUCCACAGCAAAGCAAACUUUCUUGCUGCUCUGUUAACUUCGUUACCACUCACCCGUCUGCCUUCUGUCUUCCAACAUUUUGUUGCUAGCUCUUGUCUGCUGUUGCCUCUUCUGUUCUCUUUAUCCUUCCAGGUUUUAUAAGAUUGUUUUUAUUCCUUUUCAGUCAUUUCAGAGAGGCUUCAGGAUGGAGUUGUGAUAAACGCAUGUGUUCAGUCUACAAUGUUUAACAGGGAGUGCCUCUUGAUUUUUUCAUGUGAAUUACUGAGGAGUAGGUAGUAGACUAUCUUGAUGCCCUUCCUCAUGUCCCUUUGACUCUGAGUUGACCUGCAGCUGCAGUGAACACUUCCUAAGGAUGCUGAUGUCUUCCCCUAUCAAGCACUUGCCUCAUUCUGCUUCUCCGAGGAUUUCCUCCAGUACACCAAGAGCUUGCCCGACACUCACAAGGUAUCCUGGAACUGCUGGGGACUGAAAACCCCUCAACCCAUGAAGAAUGAGGAUCAGUGGAUUAAUAGCAACUGUCCCAUACCUUGGUGGGACUAUUAUAAGGCAUUCUGGUUGGUUCCUCAGAGGUCCCAAAUGGGAUUGAACCAAAGUUGCCCACAGUAAAAACUCAUUCACCAACUCAAUUUUCAUUUCACCCCUCUCAAUUUGCACACUCACUCACUUGUUCUACCUGGGAUACUCUCCAAGAUAAACUCCUGUAUCCAAAGCUUUGUCUCAAGGUCUCAUUUGGGAGGAACUCAAACUAAGAUAAUAGGUACUGGAAGUGACUACAGAAAGUAUAUUAUCAAUGGUAUGGAGGCAACAAAAACCCCAUUAAUGGUGGUGAGUAAGGUGGUGACAAACCCUGGCACUUUGAAGAAUUUCAUUACCCACAAUUGACCCAUGGUGUACUUGGAUGAGGUAAAAAUGAAAGGAGACGCUAACCUUAUGCAAUAGUGCUAACUCCUGAAAGAUAUAGGGCUGUGAUAAUCACAGGAAUUGAAGAGUUGUCUUGUUCUUGUUAACUCCCCUAGAAGAAUUGGGAAAAAAGAAAGAUAGGUUUACAACAUCCAACUACCCAUUCAGAGCAUAGCAAUGAAAGCCAGAAGGUCUCCUUGGGAGAAUCUGAAGAGACCCCCAUUUCCUGCAACCAGAGGGCAGGCUGUUCUAAAAAAAUGACAUUCAGGGGUUCACUGCAAGAGGAAUUGAACUACAGAGCAGACUGAAGACACAGUCCAGGCAGGCCUCUCAUGCAAAAGUCAAAGCCCUAGAGGAAGGAAAUGGUCCUUAAAAACUACUGGGAUGCAGGCAGGCAUCUGGAUAGAUGUGCUAGAUAACCUUGAACCCCUAGAUUCCCUGAACAACCCAGGCUAGCAGGAGUAUCCUGCACCCUGUUACUUGAACAGAACAGCUUCCCUUUGCCUAGAGACUCUACACAGUCCUCCUCUGAAGCAGACACCUCCAAGAUUACUUCAAGGUCUGCUACUUCCUGCCCUCAUUGCCUCUAUUCCAAAAACUGGAAACAAGUCUCAGCAUGCCCUGAGCAGGGUAGCACAUUUCUUGCUGUGAGAGAUAUGACAGAUUGUAUUUUCUAAAGAAGGCUGCAACCAUGUCUCUCAUCCCAAAUGCUCUUCUACAAUGCAAUCUUGUCACUCCUCUACCAAGAGAUGAAACCUAAUUUCAAUGCCCUUGAAUCUAAGCUGGACUUUACUUGCUUUGACCUGUAAUGUACAGAAGUGACACUGUGUGAUUCUUACAGCUGAGUCAUAAAAGGUGAUGCAGCUUCUGCCUUGUUCCUGGGGACAUAUGCCUCUGUGAGAUUGAGCUACUAAAUAACAAGACCACCUACCUUGAGGCUGCCAUGCUGGAAGAAAGCAAAGCCACAUGAAGAGCAAGUAAGCUGGUUGCUUUAGCAAGAUCCUUCAUAUUGAUAGUGAAUGUGCACUUCUGUCUUUCUCUUGUGAAUGCAAACCACUUUUUCAAUAGUCUCACGUUAAGUGCCAAAGAUUGUUGUUUUUGUUGAAUGCAUUCUCUUUAUCAUUCACUACCUGGCCCUAGGAAUUUGUUCAAUGAUCCUCAUUUCUGUUACAAUAUAGUCUUCAGUGACCUUGAUCAUCUUCACAUUCUAUAGAACAUCAUCCUGGCCCAUUAUAUUAAUGACAGAAUAAUAAUUGAACUUGGUUUUUAGGAAGGAGCAAGUAUACUGGUUUUAAAUACUUCAUGCUGAAGGAAUGAGAGAUAAGCCCUACAAAGUUUUGGAAGUCUGCCACAUCAGGGAAUAUUUUAGGGGCCCAAAGAUCCAGGGGUAUGUUGAGACACCCUACUCAAAAGAAUACUUUACAUUUCCUACCACUAAGACAGAGGCACAGCACUUGGUGAGCUGCUUUGAAUUCCUGAGGCAAAAAAAUAACAAUAAUAAAUACUACCCAUGAGAAUAAUGCUCUGAUCUAUUGUAUCAGAAGACUAUUGACUUUGCGGGGGUCUGAGAGAGUAUCUGAAUAGCCUUUUAAAGACUUAAAAAGGCAUUGGCUUAGGAAUUGCACCUUGCAUGGCUAGGUCAUUGUCCUCGAGGAUACAGCAUAUUUGUUGAACCAGUGAUCACUAUAUGCAAUCACUGUGCUGUUUUCCCAGCAUUUGGAAUACACAGGAAUGAUAAUUAAAGGAUACAAGUAGGACUGACUUAAACACACUCCCUUUCACCCAUUAGUGGAAAUUAUGUUUUUAAUUCUUACAACUUUAGGCUCUUCCUGAUUAAAAGCCUUGGUCUCAAGGUGUGUGUACAGACGGAGACAGUAAGUGUUCCACUGCAUCAAUGCAGUGCCAUCUGAGGAUUUGGGCAUCUCCAUACUGACAGGUCAGCAGGCAAAAAUGGGAGUACUAUACUGGCAGGGACACCUGACUGAUUAUCUUGAAGAGUCGGAGUUGCUGCUACAUAAUGGGCCCAGGGAGGAAGAUGUCUAGAACUUGGGGGAAUCACUCAGGCCCCCCUUAGUGCUUCUUUGUCUGGCGAUAAUAGCAGAGAAGCAAUUGAAGUAGCCAUGUCCUCACAAGGGCAAGGUAAUCAAGGCCCAGCCACUCAGAGAUGAAGGUCUGGUCAUACACUGAGCAAGCAAUGAUGACUAGUGGAAGUGCUAGCCAAGGAUUCGGGAAAUCUAGAAGAAGUGGAAUUGGAGAGAGAUGAUGAGUAUAGAUUAUAGCCUUGGGACCAGCUGCAGCAGUGAAGAUUGUGACUUGUUCCACAUAUUCUUCUAUUUUCAGUCAUUUUUGGAGAUUGCAGCCAGCUACAACUCUGAAAUGUCAGUAACAGAGCAAACUAAGGGUGGGCAUGAGAGGAUCUGCUGAGAGCAAGGAAUGAACAUGGUAGUCACUAAUGAUACACUGCCCAUGUUCCCCGGCUCACCUGUUAGCUCCCCGGCAGCUUGCAAACAUGUCUAUACACACUGCCAUCUUCCUACCACGAGUGCCAUAACUCUCUGCUUCUCUGCUGAGGCCCUUCUCAGCUCACAGUGCGAGUAGCCUGCAAGUGCUAAGGGCAUAAUGCCUCCAAGGUCAACUUUAAUCAACGAGGUUCAAGAGUCAGAAGAGUGAAUUCCUUCUGAGAUACAUUCUUUCUGGUUUCUCAGAGGCUCCCCAGAGGAAGUAGGCCCCAGUUGCUUAGGAAAAAUGGAACCUACUUAUUAAGGCACCCCCUUUUUACUUUUCUCCUUUCUUUCUCUCCCUUUCCCCACUCCAUUCCGUGAAGUUCCUGGGAUCACCAAAUAAACUAUCUGUAAUCAAAUCUUUAUCUCACUCUGCAUUCUGGGGAACCCAAACAAAGAUGGUAAGUUUGCCUAUCUACAUUUAUGUCUUAUUUGCUACAAGUAUUACUGGUAAUUUUCUUGACAAAAGUAAUAUGAUAUCUGCUGAUAGGCCAAAAUAAUACAUAUUUAUAGUGAUAACUGCAGCAAAAAUGUGAAAACCAAUUUUAAAAAGUUAUUUUCACUAGUUUAAGAAAAAUGAAGAAAUUGAACUUUUAAAAAAUGCAGUAAUACCUCCUAACACAUUAUGAAGAGGAAUAUUUUCAUAACUGUAGAAAUGGUUGGUAAGGCUGUCAACUAUCCAAGGAUUAUAUUGAAAUAGCUGUCAUUGGCCAACUACUAUGACUAAUGAAAUCAACAUUUUCACCAUGCAGGCAAAAUAAACGUCAUGAGUCAAAUUUAAGAGGUAUUUCUUUUUUUCUUUAAAAGUUGUUGAACUAUCCAGGUUACUCAACCCUCAGUUUUUCAUUUUACAACAGAGUUUUCACAUACACAAAUACACAUACACACACAUUUGCAUUCAGACAUAUUCAGACAUACAUGCACACAUCUUUUAGCAUUUUAAAUAUUUUCAAAGUGUAGCUCUACAGACUCAUGCAUUUUAACUUUGGUAAUGCAUGCAGUAUUCCCUUUGGAAUGCAGCUUAUGAAGAAAUCCACGCUGGGGGCAAGUAUAUAGUAAUUCUUUCUUUAUCUCCUGCAUAUAUUAGGAAACCCUCCAGGAGGGUUAUUACUAAGACAAAUUUAGAAAGACCUCCACAUUCACAGAGACAAAAAUAUCAGCGGCAUCCUGAAAAAGCCAAUGAGUGAUCAAAAAUCAGAAAUAAACAAGCUUUGCUCAUUUUAAGCCAUAUAAAUAUUUGUUGAAUAAAUCCUGUUUUGUUUUCACUUUUGAUGGGAUGUUAGUUUGUGAAAUCAAAUGAUACCCAGAUUCUUUCUUCCCAUAGGUUUAUAAAUACCCAAAUAUGGCAUAUUUGACUCCAUAUACAGGCUUUGUUGAACAUGGAUUGUUUUUGUCUACCUUUCUCCAUUUCAAUCACAUGGUUCUAGUGUGAACUUCUAAUUAUGGACCCCUGAUCUCUCUGUUCCAGUCAAAGGGCAGGAAUGUGGUUAAUUACCAUGCAUCAUGCACUGUCUUUAGUGAUUAUUCUAAGAGGCUAUGAAAGGUAAACCAAUCAGAGGCCUUCACCAGGAUUCUGAAGUGGAGCUCCACAAGGAAGAAGAGCUUUCUUUGUUAAUGAUGAUGUCUGGAAGCAGCCAUGUAACUCCACCCCAUGGAGACAGCUGGUAUAGAAGAAUGAAGCCAAAUUGUAGGGACAGGUGAUACCAAGUGUAAGGUCCUCAGUUCUAGAGUUGGAGAAUCCCACUGCCCAACUCUGUGCACCCUGUCUUCUGGGGUUUGGUUGUUCCCUUCACAAGCUUUCUGGGAGCACCUAUUGUAUCUCUCCCCGUAUUCCUCCAUGGAGCUCAAAGUAAGCCACCUUGGGUUUCCACUGUUUACAACCAAGAGCUCUGAUAUAUGUGCUGCAUUUACUUUUGCUGUUUUAUCAAAUACUUACAAACUCAACUGCUUAAUUAGGCAAAGCAUUCUAUUGCUUUUCCUUUUUGAUAUCUCAGUAAUUGAUUUCUAAGGAAGAGAGGGCAUCUUGCUGGGAUUGUUUUCACCUAUUGCUCUUUUGCCCAGCCUCACCCAGCUCAGAUAUUGACUAAAGCCGUUCAACUCAGCUGGUCUGGCUACAGAGUACAGGGGUAGGUGCGCACCAUGGCUCAGGUGCAAUAACGACUGUAGCUUCCCAAAUUGUAAUGUCAGGUUACCAAUGUCGAGACGAAUUGGGAUUGCCUAAGUGAUUCCCUGGGUACACUCACCUUUUUACCCAAUGAUAAAAACGAGAGAUCUCAACAAAAUAGCUCUUAUCUAUUAUGCUGCAGACUGACAAUUCUUUUUUUUGUUUGUUUGUUUUUUUGAAGACAGAGUCUCACUCUG